CGCACCUGAAGGGGCGGAGGCAGUGCCGUAAAGUAGCGCCGCGGGUUUUUGCGACACCAUCCGCGCCUCUUCGAGGUGGCCCUCUGGUCCGGCUUUAGAACUGUGCGGUUUUGUGGAGCUCGAGAGUCCGGGACAAGGUAGACGCAGGAUACUGACCCUUUUUAUUUUUAACUGCAUUUUCAGUUUGGAGGUUGUAAAAUAGGUAUAACAUUUAAGAAAAGAAAUUGAAAGAGUGCUGCCAAUUCUUUGAAAAUAUGAAGCUGGAUGUGGUGGGAAGAACAAGCGUUUUGGCACAAAAAGAUGGUUAAUUGGAUAAACUAUACAUGGAAAAUGUGGGUGGGCGCUGCAAUUUAGAGGCUUGGGGUCUACUACCUGGUGAAAGGAUUAACAUGGGAAGCUAGUUACGUUUUUGUUUCUUGAGUAUCUUCUGUAAUUAUGGAACUAAAGCCUAUCUGGAAGAGACACAGCUCGUGUAUAUGUACGGUCCACCAUUCUCUUUAUUAUAUAUCUAUUGGAUGCUGAUGAUUAUGAAACAAAGUAGCAAAGAUAAGAAGCCAUUUGCUCAUUCUGCUCCUUUGCCAGCAAUAUUUCACAAAGCCCCUGACUCAUUGACUGUGAGCAGCCUUGUGGAAGAAUGCCUUGAAGAUCAUAAGCAGGAUAGGGAACAGGUUUGCACAUCUCUUGCCUGAAUCACUGAAUUUUUACAAAAGGUAAGUUCGGUGAUCCUAGCCCUUGCCUCUUCCUGUACAUAAGAUAAUGUCUGACAAGAUUAAUGAUUAUGCCUCAAAUUCAUGACCAGAUGUAACUUCAUACCCACACUUUGAUGAGACUUUACUUGUAUUAACCCAUUUUCAUACUGCUAUGAAGAAAUACCCAAGACUGCAUAAUUUCUAAAGAAAAAGGCUUAGUGGACUCACAGUUCCACAUGGCUGGGGAAGCCUCACAAUCAUGGUAGAAGAUGAAGAAGGAGCAAAGUCACAUCUUACAUGGCAGCAGGUGAGAGAGCAUGUGCAGAGGAACUACCCUUUAUAAAACCAUCAGAGGCCAGGCGCAGUGGCUCACACCUGUAAUCCUAGCACUUUGGGAGGCCGAGGCAGGCAGAUCAUCUGAGGUCAGGCAUUCAAGACCAGCCUGGCCAACAUGGCAAAACCCCAUGUUUCAAAAUUAGCUCAGUGUGGGGGCACAUGCCUGUAAUACCAGCUACUAGGGAGGCUGAGGCAGGAGAAUCGCUUGAACCUGGGAGGCAGAGGUUGCAGUGAGCCAAGAUCACGCUACUGUACUCCAGCCUGGGCAACAGAGCCAGACUUUGUCUCAAAAAAAAAAAAAAAAAGAAAUAAAAUAAAAAUAAAUAAAUAGAUAAAUAAAACCAUCAGAGCUCGUGAGAACUCACUACCAUGACAACAUGAGGGUAACUGACCCCAUAAUUAAAUUACUUCCCAUCAGGUCCCUCCCUUGACACUUGGGGAUUAUGGGAGCUACAAUUCAAGAUGAGAUUUGGGUUGGGACACAGCCAAACCAUAUCAUUCCACCCCGGCCCCUCCAAAAUCUCCUGUCCUCACAUUUCAAAAGCAGUCAUGCCUUACCAGCAGUCCCCCAAAGUCUUAACUCAUUUCAUCUUUAACUCAAAAGGCUACAGUCCAAAGUCUCAUCUGAGACAAGGCAAGUCCCUUCUGCCUAUGAGCUUGUAAAAUCAUAAGCAAGUUAAGUUACUUCCUAAAUACAAUAGGGGUACAAGCAUUGGGUAAAUACACCCAUUCCAAAUGGGAGAAAUAGGCCAAAAUGAAGGGACUACAGGGCCCAUGCAAGUCCAAAAUCCAGCAGGGCAGUCAAAUCUUAAAGCUCCAAAAUGAUCUGCUUUGACUCCGUGUCUCACAUCCAGUUCACACUGAUACAAGAGGUAGGUUGCCAUGGUCUUGGGCAGCUCUGCCCCUGUGGCUUUGCAAGAUAUAGCCUCCUUCCCAGCUGCUUUAACAGGCUGGCAUUGAGUGUCUCUGGCUUUCCCAGGCAUACGCUGCAAGCUGUUGGUGGAUCUACCAUCCUGGGAUCUGGAGGAUGGUGGCCCUCUUCUCACAGCUCCACUAGGCACUGCCCCAGUGGGGACUCUGUGUGGGGGAUCCCACCCCACAUUUCCCUUCUGCAUUGCCUUAGCAGAGGUCGUGCAUGAGGGCCCUGCCCCUGCAGCACACCUCUGCCUGAACAUCCGGGUGUUUCCAUACAUCCUCUGAAAUCUAGGCAGCAUUCCCAAACCUCAAUUCUUGACUUCCGUGCACCCACAGUCCCAAUAUCACAUGUGAGCAGCCUGAGACUGCACAAAGCAGCAAGGCCCUGGGCCCAGCCCAUAAAACCCAUUUUUCCUCUUUGGCCUCCUGGCUUGUGAUGAGAGGGACUUCCAGGAAGCCCUCUUACAUGCCCUGGAGACAUUUUUCCCAUUGUCAUGGUGAUUAACAUGUGGCUUCUUGUUACUUAUGCAAAUUUCUGCAGCAGGCUUGAAUUUCUCCCCAAAAAAUGGGUUUUUCUUUUCUAUCACGUCAUCAGGCUGCAAGUUGUCCUUUUAUGCUCUGCUUCCUCUUGAACGCUUUGCCACUUAGAAAUUUCUUCCCUCAGGUACCCUAAAUCAUCUCUCUAAAGUUCAAAGUUCCACAGAUAACUAGGGCAGGGGCAAAAUGCCACCAGUCUCUUUGCUAAAGCAUAGCAAGAGUGACCUUUAUUCCAUUUCCCAACAAGUUCCUCAUCUCCAUCUGACACCACCUCAGCCUGGACUUCUUUGUCCGUAUCCCUAUUAGCCUUCUGAUCAAAGCCAUUCAACAAGUCUCUAGGAAGUUCCAAACUUUCCUACAUCUUUCUGUCUUCUGAGCCCUCCAAGUCUCUAGGAAGUUCCAGAGUUUCCCACAUUUUCCUGUCUUCUUCUGAGCCCUCCAAACUGUUCCAGCCUCUGCCUGUUACCCCGUUCCAAAGUUGCUUCAACAUUUUCCAUUAACCUUAUAGCAGAGCCCCACUACCUCAGUACCAAUUUACUGUAUUAGUCCAUUUUCAUACUGCUGUGAAGAAAUAGCCAAGACUGGGUAAUUUAUAAAGAAAAAGAGGUUCAGUGGACUCAGUUCCACAUGGCUGGGGAGGCCUCACAAUCGUGACAGAAGGCAAAGGAGGAGCAAAGGCACAUCUUACCUGGCAGCAAGGCAAGAGAGCAUGUGUGGAAGAACUGCCCUUUAUGAAACCAUCAGAUUUCCUGAGAUUUAUUCACUAUCAUGAGACCAGCAGGGGAAAAACUUGCCCCCAUGAUUAAAUUACCUCCCACUGGGUCCUACCAUUGACACAUGGGGAUUAUGGGAGCUACAAUUCAAGAUGAGAUUUGAGUGGGGACACAGCCAAACCAUAUCAUUAAUGUAAUUUCUGAGCACAUUUGAUGUAACUUCUUAACACAUGCAGAGCAACCACCACCUAUGUUUAAGCUAUGGGGUGAAUCAAUGCUUUGGAGCAAUAUAACAAACUCUUUGAAAGAUUCUCCCAGGUUGCAGUACUCAGUAGGACUUCUGAAUAAAAUUAACUUUAAUUAUUUAAAAGCCUGUUUUUUUUUCUUUAGUUGACAUAACAUACCAGGAUAUUGUAGCUGGAAAUACAUAGGAGGUUCUUGCUCUCACGAACCUUACAUUCCAGUAAGGAAAACAGUCAAUAAGAAAAAAGAAAAAUGAAUACAAUAAAUUCUCAUGGUGAUACAAAUAAGGUAAGAUGACAGAAACUGAAGGGAGAGGGAGACACUACUUCAGUGAGGUGGUCAGUGAAAACCUCUCUGCAAAGGUGGUGUGAAAUCUGAGACCUGAAUGACAAGAAAGAACUAGCGAUGCAAACAUCUGAGGGUGGCACAUUUCUAAUAUUUAUUUUUUACUAGUUUUAUUUUGUGUUAAUUUUAUGUUUAACUCUUUAACUAUCUGGAAUAUAUUUUGGUACAGGAGUCCCCCUUAUCCAAGGGGGAUAUAUAUCAAGCCCCCCAGUGGAUACCUGAAAUCACAGAUAGCGCUGAACCCUAUAUGUACUAUGUUUUUUCCUACAUAUAUGUAUCUAUGAUAAAGUUUAAUUUAUAAAUUAGGCAUAGUAAGAUAUUUACAAAAAUAAUAAAAUUGAACAGUUAUAACAAUAUACUGUAUAAAUCUUAUGUGAAUGUGAUCUCUCUCUCUCAAAAUCUGCCAUACUUACCUAUUGCCAGACCACAGUUGACCAUGGCUAACUGAAAUCAUGGAAAGCAAAACCACAAAUAGGGAGGGCUACUGUAUGUUCUAUAAGGUAAUACGUGAAUUGUCUAUUGCUACAUAACAAACCACCCAAAACUUUGUGAUGUGUCCAAGCCCAAGGAUGCAAGGUUUCCAAGCUUGCAGAUCCCAAGGAUACCAGGAAACAGGAUUCCCAGGAGGCCACUGCUAUAAUGAUCUACCACUAUUUUUACCAAAACUGGUAUUUGUAUUAGGCUGUUCUCCCAUUGCUGUAAAAAAAUACCUGAGACUGGCUAAUUUGUAAAGAAAAGAGGUUUGAUUGGCUCAUGGUUCCAUAGGCUGUAUAGGAAGCAUGAUGCUAGCAUCUUCUCAGCUUCUGGGGCAGCCUCAGGAAACUUACAAUCAUGGUGGAGGGCAAAGUGGGAGCCAGUACGUCACAUGGCCAGAGCAGUGAGAGAAGGGGGAGGUGAUACACACUUUUUA
Gorilla gorilla gorilla (western lowland gorilla) is the source of this 4688-nucleotide long non-coding RNA. RefSeq lists it as uncharacterized. The record is from RefSeq and is a predicted model, not a curated record. The transcript has 3 exons. NCBI's taxonomy places the organism in Eukaryota, Metazoa, Chordata, Mammalia, Primates, Hominidae.